Molecule: ribosomal RNA, 483 nt
Filed under: uncultured bacterium
Lineage: Bacteria
Description: partial 16S ribosomal RNA
Rfam family: Bacterial small subunit ribosomal RNA
Source: RNAcentral
GACGAACGCUGGCGGCGUGCUUAACACAUGCAAGUCGAACGCUGAAGCUCAGCUUUUGUUGGGUGGAUGAGUGGCGAACGGGUGAGUAACACGUGAGUAACCUGCCUCCUUCUUUGGGAUAACGCCCGGAAACGGGUGCUAAUACUGGAUAUUCACUGGUCUUCGCAUGGGGGCUGGUGGAAAGGGUUUUUCUGGUGGGGGAUGGGCUCGCGGCCUAUCAGCUUGUUGGUGGGGUGAUGGCCUACCAAGGCUUUGACGGGUAGCCGGCCUGAGAGGGUGACCGGUCACAUUGGGACUGAGAUACGGCCCAGACUCGUACGGGAGGCAGCAGUGGGGAAUAAUGCACAAUGGGCGAAAGCCUGAUGCAGCGACGCCGCGUGAGGGAUGGAGGCCUUCGGGUUGUGAAACUCUUUCGCUAAUGGUCAAGCCGCAACAAUGGUUGUGGUGAGGGUAGUGGGUAAAGAAGCGCCGGCUAACUACGUG